CCUACGGGGUGCAGCAGUGGGGAAUAUUGGGCAAUGGAGGAAACUCUGACCCAGCAACGCCGCGUGAAUGAUGAAGGUCUUCGGAUUGUAAAGUUCUUUUCUAAGGGAAGAAGAAAGUGACGGUACCUUAGGAAUAAGCCUCGGCUAACUCCGUGCCAGCAGCCGCGGUAAUACGUAGGAGGAAAGCGUUAUCCGGAGUGACUGGGCGUAAAGGGGGCGUAGGUGGUUUGACAAGUUGGUAGCGUAACUCCGGGGCUUAACCGCGGCACUACUACCAAAACUGUCGGAUUUGAGUGCAGGAGGGGCAGAUGGAAUUCCUAGUGUAGCGGUGGAAUGCGUAGAUAUUAGGAGGAACACCAGUGGCGAAGGCGAUUUGCUGGACUGUAACUGACACUGAGGCACGAAAGCGUGGGGAGCAAACAGGAUUAGAUACCCGUGUAGUC
This 443-nucleotide ribosomal RNA is filed under the name uncultured bacterium. Its description in RNAcentral is "partial 16S ribosomal RNA". It matches the Rfam family "Bacterial small subunit ribosomal RNA", at positions 338 to 795 of the family's 1533-position model. The record is from RNAcentral.